AAUCAAGUGCCUUAAGGGUGUUCGGUGGAUGCCUUGGCGCUGAGAGGCGAUGAAGGACGUGCUACGCUGCGAUAAGCCGUGGGGAGCUGCGAAGAAGCUUUGAUCCAUGGAUUUCCGAAUGGGGAAACCCACCUUCGAUAGCCGGAACUCCAAGACCUUUGUCGAAAGACAUUGGUGUGGGGUUCGAACAGAAAUGUGAGAUGCCUAAGCCUUUAGAUUUCGAUCGAAGAGGUUUUGGAUUUCCGGUUAUCAAGAGAAGGUAUGAGACUUCUGAAUACAUAGGAGGUUUCAAGCAAACCCAGGGAACUGAAACAUCUAAGUACCUGGAGGAAAGGACAUCAACAGAGACUCCGUUAGUAGUGGCGAGCGAACGCGGACCAGGCC
This 384-nucleotide ribosomal RNA is filed under the name Bradyrhizobium japonicum. RNAcentral describes it as "bacterial LSU rRNA". It matches the Rfam family "Bacterial large subunit ribosomal RNA", at positions 1 to 270 of the family's 2925-position model. RNAcentral also lists the same sequence under 7 other names. Lineage: Bacteria; Pseudomonadati; Pseudomonadota; Alphaproteobacteria; Hyphomicrobiales; Nitrobacteraceae. The record is from RNAcentral.